Dromaius novaehollandiae (emu) is the source of this 778-nucleotide long non-coding RNA. RefSeq lists it as uncharacterized. The record is from RefSeq and is a predicted model, not a curated record. The transcript has 2 exons. Lineage: Eukaryota; Metazoa; Chordata; Aves; Casuariiformes; Dromaiidae.
GGGAGGGGGAGGCCAGGGGCGGCUCCGCGGCCUCUCGUGAGCCCGGCGCCGCCGCCGCUGCGGGCACCCGGGCUCCACGCGAGGGACGAGGGCGGAGGGGAGGGGAGCGGCGGCGGCGGGGGGGAAGAGCCGGGCGAGACCUUGUUUGCACAAACAGCCCCCCCGGGGGCCGGCUCCCUCCCGGCGCGGGGCAGGGGCAUCCCAGCACCUCCGCACAGAGCAUCCCGGCCUCCCUCCCGCCGGUCCCCGGGGCCCCGCCGCAAAGCCGCCGGAACAUCGCCGUGUCCCCGGGCCCCGCUCGCUGUUUGCUAACCCGCGCAGCCCAUCUUUCGGGGCUGAUCAAAUAUGGAUAUUGCCUGCAAAACGCGAGCUGGGCACACGAGCGAUGCCGAGCAGCUCCAAGUUAACUGUUGUCUACCCUUGCGUUUCUGCGGCCAGGGGCGUGCAGCUUCCCUUGCUUAGACACGUCAAAAAUAAAUAUAUAAAGAAAGAAAAGACUCAUCCUGACUGCAAAAGAGAGAUUACCCUGCGGUUUGCUUUUAUUCUCCUUUCUCCCAAAGGGUGGGGGCAGAAUGCAAAGUGCCCCCGACGGGCGUUGCAACCCCGUCUGCUUUAAGGCUGAAUCAGCUUUCCGAAAAGCAAACAAGCAGGGGGGGAAAAAAAGAAAAGGAAAAAAAAAAAGGCUUGUUCGCAAAGGAAGUGGCCAGGGCUGUCCAAGGGGAGGCAGGCGCGGAUUAGCGAUGGGAGUGGAAGUUCCUGGCGCUUCAGAAAGGAUCUG